RNAcentral lists this ribosomal RNA (407 nucleotides) under Verrucomicrobiota bacterium. Its description in RNAcentral is "Verrucomicrobia bacterium partial 16S ribosomal RNA". It matches the Rfam family "Bacterial small subunit ribosomal RNA", at positions 355 to 776 of the family's 1533-position model. Lineage: Bacteria; Pseudomonadati; Verrucomicrobiota. The record is from RNAcentral.
UGGGGAAUAUUGGACAAUGGAGGGAACUCUGAUCCAGCAAUUCUGUGUGUGUGAAGAAGGUUUUAGGACUGUAAAACACUUUUAGUAGGGAAGAAAAAAAUGACGGUACCUACAGAAGAACCAAGGGCUAAAUACGGGCCAGCAGCCGCGGUAAUACGUAUGUUGCGAGCGUUAUCCGGAAUUAUUGGGCUUAAAGGGCAUCUAGGCGGUAAGACAAGUUGAAGGUGAAAACCUGUGGCUCAACCAUAGGCUUGCCUACAAAACUGUUGAACUAGAGUACUGGAAAGGUGGGUGGAACUACACGAGUAGAGGUGAAAUUCGUAGAUAUGUGUAGGAAUGCCGAUGAUGAAGAUAACUCACUGGACAGAAACUGACGCUGAAGUGCGAAAGCUAGGGGAGCAAACAGG